AAUUAGUAUAGUGUCUGUGUGUUUAUUUGGGACUGAAGCAGCAGCAGGACCUGGCAGAAAGAACUCCAGCUACAGUAGUGUUCCGAUUUCAGCUGGGUAGUUUACCUUUGCCAGCCACCUGGUGUUCUGGGGACAUGGGCUCUGUGAAUGACAGAAUGGUAAUGCUGGGCUUUCCGUGACUUGAGGCAGGGAGAAGAGAGUCAUGAGUAGACCCAUGUGUCUCUUGUGUCUCUCACACUCCAGUUUGGUGUGCUCUGUCUCAGGUGGGAAACCCAGCUGGGAUAGAAACGUCUUCCAUGUUCUAUGUGGUCCCUAGAGCCACAAGCUGCAUUAGAUCGAGUCAAGGAAUGGACUGCGGGCUAGAAGGGAUCUGCUUAGGGCUUUGGAAGCUCCGUGGAAAGCCAAAUAGUGAGGUGACUUCACCGUGGAAUAUGCUAAAGAGAAACCCAUGAGGUUGAUAUCCCCUGAGCCCGUCUUCCCAGUCUUCCCCUGAUGGCCACCCCAGGACAAGGGGCCCAUGGAGAACAUCUUAUUAAUUUCCAACUGCGUUUUGCUCUAUUGUGUAGUAUUUCAGUGACAGAAUCCACUCAGGAGAGUUGGGGCAAGGCUGGCCAAGGUUAUGAAGGAGCUGAGUUCUGAGUUCAGGUAUCCACAUGGCAGUGGAAUGAUGCCUCCUGUCCCUUCAGACCUUUGAGACGUCUGGGAGGUCCUAGAAAUCACUUCAAGUCUCCAGUCCAGGACACAACUGCCUAGGGGAAUCCCAGGGACAGGCGGCAGAGAUUGUAUGGCCUGCAAGGUGAUGGACUCCAUUGUGAUCACUGAAGAAUCCACCAAAUUCUAAACCACUGGCAGUUUGAGUGCACAAACCCCCUUCUGGAGAGGAGGCCAGAGAAGCAAUCCAGGAGACCCACUACUUGGCUAGAGAGUUGACGGACCACUUCUCAGGUUUCCUGGAAGUCAAUGAAACAUGGCGAGGAAAGUGUCAUUGAUCAUAGGAUGGAAUCAAGAAGCUCGCAGAAUGAAACUAUACCUGAAAUACUUCAGACUGAAGUCCUGGGACGCCAGUUCUGAAUCCAAUUGUCCCUCCCUCCUUCCCUUCCUCCGUCCCUCCGUCCCUCCCCUCCCUGUGUUUCUCUUUUCUUGACUCAGGGAAUUGUAAACAGGAACUCUUUAAUAGGUAUAAUUUUGUCUUCAAAUUAUCUGUGUUUAUGACAUGUUACUAAAGACUUAGGAGAGUCCUACCAGAGUCACUGCAUGCCACCUGGGGAAUCAGAGUCAGCUUGUGGAGCUCUUAAGACCCAUUAAUAAAAAUAAUAUAAAAACCGACACCAAAGAAGUUUAAGGGCAUUUGUUAUUGCAUUAAACACACACACACACACACACACACACACACACACGCACACAUGCACGCACGCACGCACGCACGCACACACACGAGAAGGCAAACUAAAUCUCAGCAGCUGCCCAGAGGCAGAAGAUGGAGGAGACAAUGCAGCCCUGCCGCUUAAGUUAAGGCAACAUGAAGGUCAGCCAUAUGGCAAAGAAGCAGCCACAUGGGUCAGGGUGGGAGGGCAGAGGGGGUAGGGCUUUAAAGAAAGAGUGAAGGCUGAAGUGCUCAGGAAUGAAAUGGAGAGAAGAGAAGAGUCCGGUUUUCUGAGGAGUUGAGAAAGGCAGGCACUCUUCCCAAGUUGCUGGGCUACAGCUUUAUGAGGGAUUGCAAUAGAGAGGGGGAUUCUGGAGAGGAAAACACAUUAUUAUCUCAUUAAAGGGCUAAUUAUUCCUCUUAUCCCUCUAAAGAGUUAAGGUGUCCCUACCUUCCCAAGGAAUGGUCCUGUAGCCUGGUGAUUGACCUGCCCAGCUAGGAUGUUGAGUAUCUACCCAAGUUACUUUCUGGUCUUAAGGAAAUAGUUUCCCCUUAAUUGGCCUCUGCUGCCACUGAAAACAUAAUACUCUGUUCCUGGAGAGUUCCUGAUCUGAGGUAUCAGGCUAGGUAGUAAAUGGGGCCAUAUGGUUGGAUUAGCGUCAUUCUUAUCUUUAGGUUAAAAAUUCACGUCUUUUCUGUUUUCUCAAGUUUGGAUUCAGAUGAUGGCAUACAGGAGCCACGUUGCUUAGCUACCAAAGACUUCUCUAACUGUGGCACCAGCAAUACUUAAAACACAGUCAAGCGUGUGUUACACCAGGGGCUGGUGAGAAUUGUUUGGCAUGAAUGUUGAACUACAAAGAAACAUACAUCUCACAGUCUGAGAUUUAGGUUCUCUCUGAUCCUGCAGCUGCAACAGUAGACAAUGUUUUAAAUAUCAAAAGUGGCUUUCAAUGGCUUUGAAUCUCUUGGGCAAUUUUGGGUGAUUUUGCACGGUCACUUUCUUAGGUCAAGUAGGACCUUCCCAACUGCGUCAUUCAGGCCUCUGUGGACCUUGGAAGAGCUAAAGAAAGGGCAGGCUUCUUCAGUGGAGUUUGCAAGGGGGGCUGUUUCUGUGUCUGUGCUGUAACUAUGUCUGCCUUACAAUAAAAUACCUUGGUUGACUCAGCAAUAAAGUCUUUGUUGAAUUCCU
Molecule: long non-coding RNA, 2552 nt
Organism: Mesocricetus auratus (golden hamster)
Lineage: Eukaryota; Metazoa; Chordata; Mammalia; Rodentia; Cricetidae
Exons: 3
Source: RefSeq, a predicted model, not a curated record